Long non-coding RNA from Micropterus dolomieu (smallmouth bass), 707 nucleotides. RefSeq lists it as uncharacterized. NCBI's taxonomy places the organism in Eukaryota, Metazoa, Chordata, Actinopteri, Centrarchiformes, Centrarchidae. The record is from RefSeq and is a predicted model, not a curated record. The transcript has 4 exons.
UUGAACACAGAGCGCGUGAGCAGCAGUAAACCCCCCCCCACAGAAGAAGUCUCUCUUCCCACAGUCCUCGGCGGUGCUAAAGUGACCUCUGUUGCUAACUGUUAGCCUGCUGUGAGACGAUGGCUCCUCCAGUUGCAGUGUCGCCUUUGAUUAAGACUGCAAGAUAUUCAGCCUUGAUUGCCGGGAUCAUCUAUGGCAAAAGGAGAUAUGAUCACCUGAAGCCUAUUGCAGCUGAGGAGAGACGGAUCGAGGAGGAGGAGAAAAAGGUUCGCGAGGAGCAGGAGCGCAUUGCCAAGCAGCUAGCAGAAGCAAAUGAAGAUACUAUCCUGAAGUAAAGCGUGCUGUGUGAGGAUGUAGUCCAUGGGAUGUCCAUGCAAUUUCCAACUUUUCCCUCCGUUUUCUGGAGUUACAGAGACAGUCGGGUCACAACCUGUCAAACACUUGCCACUUACUUUGAAUAAUACAACACCCCUCUGGACCAUAAGUUAGUUACAUGAAAUUAAAUGAGCCUCUUGAACUCAGCAUUGUAACACAGCAAAUGCAGCCCCACUCAUAAUUUAUUCAUGUUUGUAAUGAAGCAAUGUCAUAAAUACAGAAGUACAUGAUCACUGUAGUCCACCAUGUGAUGUUUGGUUAUAAUUCGUGUUCUCCUUUAGCCACUGUUAGAGCACAGGUAUGACAGAUGUUAUAUUAAAAAUGACAACUUA